AACGCUAGCUACAGGCUUAACACAUGCAAGUCGCGGGGCAGCAUGAAUUUAGCUUGCUAAAUUUGAUGGCGACCGGCGCACGGGUGAGUAACGCGUAUCCAACCUUCCCCUGUCCACGGGAUAGCCCGUCGAAAGGCGGAUUAAUACCGUAUGAGGUCACAUGACGGCAUCAGAGUGUGACGAAAGGUUUGGCGGACAGGGAUGGGGAUGCGUCCGAUUAGCUUGUUGGCGGGGUAACGGCCCACCAAGGCAACGAUCGGUAGGGGUUCUGAGAGGAAGGUCCCCCACAUUGGAACUGAGACACGGUCCAAACUCCUACGGGAGGCAGCAGUGAGGAAUAUUGGUCAAUGGGCGAGAGCCUGAACCAGCCAAGUAGCGUGCAGGAUGACGGCCCUAUGGGUUGUAAACUGCUUUUAUGCGGGGAUAACGUGCACCACGUGUGGUGUAUUGCAGGUACCGCAUGAAUAAGGACCGGCUAAUUCCGUGCCAGCAGCCGCGGUAAUACGGAAGGUCCGGGCGUUAUCCGGAUUUAUUGGGUUUAAAGGGAGCGUAGGCCGCUGUUUAAGCGUGUUGUGAAAAACCGGGGCUCAACUCCGGUCGUGCAGCGCGAACUGGACGGCUUGAGUGCGCGGUAAGUGGGCGGAAUUUGUGGUGUAGCGGUGAAAUGCUUAGAUAUCACGAAGAACUCCGAUUG
RNAcentral lists this ribosomal RNA (694 nucleotides) under uncultured Bacteroidales bacterium. RNAcentral's name for it is "bacterial SSU rRNA". It matches the Rfam family "Bacterial small subunit ribosomal RNA", at positions 32 to 715 of the family's 1533-position model. Lineage: Bacteria; Pseudomonadati; Bacteroidota; Bacteroidia; Bacteroidales. The record is from RNAcentral.